RNAcentral lists this unclassified non-coding RNA (213 nucleotides) under Hevea brasiliensis (rubber tree). Lineage: Eukaryota; Viridiplantae; Streptophyta; Magnoliopsida; Malpighiales; Euphorbiaceae. The record is from RNAcentral.
ACAUCAUGCACCAAGGGAUACUCACUUGUAUACUCUCACCAGUUCAAACUACAGCAACCUACUACUAAAUUCCUCAAACUCCACAAAUCAUCUAUUUUGAAUAAUAACACAAAUUCCUCAAAUGAUUAAACACGAAUCUAUUUACCAUUGAAACCAGUAUUAUUAAAUCAGGCACGGAGUUGACCCGGUGAAGGGACCGAGUGAAUGGGUUAG